This 441-nucleotide ribosomal RNA is filed under the name uncultured bacterium. RNAcentral's name for it is "partial 16S ribosomal RNA". It matches the Rfam family "Bacterial small subunit ribosomal RNA", at positions 338 to 795 of the family's 1533-position model. The record is from RNAcentral.
CCUACGGGUGGCAGCAGUGAGGAAUAUUGCGCAAUGGGGGAAACCCUGACGCAGCAACGCCGCGUGAUCGAUGAAGCCCUUCGGGGUGUAAAGAUCUGUCAGUGGGGACGAAACCUGACGGUACCCACAGAGGAAGCACCGGCUAACUACGUGCCAGCAGCCGCGGUAAUACGUAGGGGGCAAGCGUUAUCCGGAUUUACUGGGUGUAAAGGGAGCGUAGACGGCAAGGCAAGCCAGAAGUGAAAGGGCAGGGCUCAACCCUGUACAUGCUUUUGGAACGGUGGUGCUAGAGUGCAGGAGGGGUAAGUGGAAUUCCUAGUGUAGCGGUGAAAUGCGGAGAGAUUAGGAGGAACACCAGGGGCGAAGGCGGCUUACUGGACUGUAACUGACGUUGAGGCUCGAAAGCGUGGGGAGCAAACAGGAUUAGAUACCCCAGUAGUC